UUAUCUUACUCGGCUUUUUGGCUAUAUCAAGUGUAGUAUAUGCUCUUAUCAGUUUACUAUAUCAUACGUGGACCAUCGGUUCACACGAUAUUAACUCUAAGGGGAGAAAAUCCAAUAAAAUAGCUUGAUGUCUUGAAAUUUGUGAAUCACCUUUUGUGUUAUACUAUUGGAUAGGUCUGACUCAACUUAA
Arabis alpina (gray rockcress) is the source of this 190-nucleotide non-coding RNA. The record is from Rfam. NCBI's taxonomy places the organism in Eukaryota, Viridiplantae, Streptophyta, Magnoliopsida, Brassicales, Brassicaceae.